This 235-nucleotide ribosomal RNA is filed under the name Triticum aestivum (bread wheat). Its description in RNAcentral is "partial small subunit ribosomal RNA". Lineage: Eukaryota; Viridiplantae; Streptophyta; Magnoliopsida; Poales; Poaceae. The record is from RNAcentral.
GAUAUUUGUUGCUUGGCACUCCGACCCGCGGCGAGCCGGAGGCGAUGAUGCUAUUGAUGUUGCAACCGUAGUCACCUUGGACUGGAACCGGCAGGUGUCAGAGUUGCAACCAUGGUGACCAUGGCGAGCGCUACUCUGUUUUUCUACUGCAUUUUUGGUGAUGAUGAUUUUGCUACAACCGUAAUCUCUUUUUGUUACAACCGGCGAGUUGAUUUGCUACAUCCAAUCACGACGG